CCGCACGGGCCGGGCGUUCCGCCCUGGAAGGCGCGGGAAGGGCGCCGGGCCCUCGGGAGGAGGAGGGGACAGUUGUCGCAGCUGGUGCGAAGAAGGACGCUGUCGGGAGCCGGAGAGGGGGACAGGGCGACACGCUCCCCCAGACCCGUUACCAGACUAGCCCCGGACCCUCCCGUCGCUGAGUGACGUCUGGACUCGAGCAGCGCCCCAGUCCCUCCCUCGGCCACUCGCGCCCCGCGCUGAGCUCACGGCCCGGCAGGGGACACACUGCGCACAGCUAAUGCAAGGGACCCAAUUCUGCCUGCUCUGCAAAAAAAAAGAAAGGAGAGAAAUCACUUAUAUCAGUGCUGGGGAGUGGGGUUCAGGACCCCACACCCCGGCCCCGUGAGCGUGAGAUCGGAACCCCAGUCUGAUGCCCGUCAAGUGUGACCACCGUGAGCGUUUUGCUGCCCUAACAAGAGUCUGGUAGUUUAAAGACACACAUUUUUUAUACAGAAGGCCUUGAAACAUAAGUCACCUGCUUCCUCUGGGGCAAAACUCAAGGAACAGUCUACAGAGCUGGGGAGAAAUUAUUGGACCAAAAGUGUGUACUGAGUUACAUGAAUACCAGGGUUGUCUUGUGUAAGCUGGAGGCAGAUGUCCAUGAAGAAAAAGCAAGAACUAGAAAGCUCUCAGAAGCCAAGGCAGCUCCUCUCUCAAGCUCUGUCUGGAACCCCCUGGUCUCUCAACCUGGCCUCUUUGCUCUGCUCUGCCUCAUUCCCCCGGCUUGCUUCUUAGGUGUUCCCCUUUAAGAGCCCAGUUUUUUUAAAAAAAAAUCAAUGUCCUAAUCUCAACUUCUCAGGAAAAAGAAUGCAACUGUCCCAGCUUAGAUGUGAUGUCCUGGCCUGAUCACAUGGGACCCGGGGGCCACAGGCAAGUGGCACAAUAGCCCCUUCACAGGGACUGUGAAAAUAAUCCCCAGAAAAGGGGGCACAGGCAGGGAGGGCACAGUAGUGUAGUGGAGAGAACACUAGAGUCCUGGAUCUGCCACUAAUUUGCCGUGUGCCCUUAGAAAAGUCAGUGGACCUCUCUGAGCCUCGAUUUCUUGCUACUUCCAGGACCAAAUUGAGAACUUCACAGCCUGCAAAGACUGUGAAAAGUUUCACCCCAUCUAUGACACUGAAAAUAAAACCAGUGCUAAUCCAUAAGAUAAAUGUCAGGCCGUGUGACUGGAUCCUGACUUCUGCUGUCAUGUCUUUAUAAUGACAUAACAAAUCAUUUUGUUAAAAAAAAAGUUUAGGUGUUCCUACUUCACUGGUGCCAUCAGCACUGGCUUAGUUUGUCUUUUAGGUUGCAAACUGUCUUUGCUCAGCCAAGGAGGCCACGCCAGCCCCUUCUAUCUUCCUCAGCCUGGCUGAGUGGCCUAAUCUCCGUGCUUGUGGCAUGUGAUGUCCCCUAAGCACCACCACCACCCCCCACCCCACCCCUGCCACGGUGACUGGUUUGAUGAUAAGAGAACACCCCACCCCAGGUCAGACCAAUCAGAGCUUCUUUCCCAAGAAAUGGAAUUUGGACACAAACUUCCCCGAGAAACAAAGUGCUGAGCAAUAGGUUAAUGGGGCAUUGGGUGCUGGAACCAAGAGAUCGUGUGAAGUCACAGCCGGGGUAGCCGUUUUCCACCGGACGACACGCUGCCGUGGCCACAAAGGUGGCCCCCACACAAAGCCUUUCCCCUGCAUCUCCCUUGCUAAUAAAAUCCUGAUUUUUUAUUCCAGGCUUCAGUGGAGAACUCGGAAUCUCUUAGAUCCCAAGACCUCACAGGGUCUACCUGCGAUCUUGGGGCGGCCCAUGAGACAUGAGAGGAGACCCACUGGGGGACGGUGGGACGGAGAUGCCAGCUGAACGUCCAGUGCUCAGUGUCUGCAGUGUGAGCCGAAGUCAGUCACUGGGCCCCAUGGGAUGGCAGCUGAAGUUCUGUCGCUGCCGCAGCGCCUCCAAGCCCGCCACGAUAACCCGUGCACUGCCCGGCCACCUCCCGUGCACUGCACGACUGCUUGCCCCAGUGGUGAGGGUGCUGUGGUUUGCAACCGAGAACCAUCCGGGACGGACAGAGGUGGCACCGUCGGCAUUCAGAGUUCUAGAUUCCUCCCCACGGCCGUCCAGAACUGCACCCCUGUUGGCCAGUGAAAGCUAGAGUCACCGUUACAAUCUGAGUGACAGAUGGAGACAAGAAGUGGUGAGGGUGUGUACAUCCUAAAGAAAGCAUUUUGGCCUCAUACAGCUAAAGCUGUAAGAAUGUUUACACUGUUCAACCCGGGAAACCUAAAUGUGGGGGUUCGUCCUAAGAAAAUAAGUCAAAGGCAAAAAAACCCAAAAUCCUGAUGCACAGAGAUGCCUAUCGUAACACUGUUUUUAUAGGGCCAGUGGCAAUAAGUAAAUAAGGAGAAAGCCAGUCCCAAGAGAGCCUGUACUAACAGAUGACAUUGUGUAAAGUACAAAAUUGAGGGAAACUCACGCUCUUGGAAGUCAGCAUACAGGUUAUCUGGUAGAGGGGGUUGGAGAAGGAAUAACUAGAAGGGAAAUCAGGAAGUUUCCAGGGUGCUGAGAAUAUUCUGUUUCUUGAUCUGGUUAAGUUCAUUUGUGAAAAUUCAUCAAGAUAUACAUACACCUUUGAUACGGACCCUUUAUACAUGUGUAUUGUACUUCAAUAAAAAACGUUUUCUAAAAAGA
Microcebus murinus (gray mouse lemur) is the source of this 2709-nucleotide non-coding RNA. Lineage: Eukaryota; Metazoa; Chordata; Mammalia; Primates; Cheirogaleidae. The record is from RefSeq and is a predicted model, not a curated record.